AUGGGGCGCUGGCCGCGACUGCGGUGGCGGUUGUUGGGGGAGCCGCGGGCCCCCGAGAGGCCGUGCGUGGGUCGCCGAAGGCAGGCGGCCGCUCCGUGGCCGCGCGGGACCGCCCCUGUGUGCCCAAACGGGCCGCUGGCGGUGAGACCCCGUUGUGUGUCCCGGAUGCUGCGGUCGUCUGUGCCCGAGGCUUCUCCCUGGAUCCUCGCGGUGGCCCGCCGCCCACCCCCUCCCCGCUCGUCGCCUUCCCCGCGCCUUCCACGGUCGCCUCGGGCUUGCCCGGGGUCUCGUCUCCUCCCGACCCGCUCUCCCGCUCCGCGUCCGCGCGCCCCGGGUGCGCGCCUCGCUUCCCGGGCCCGCCGGGGCCCCUCCCCGAGGCGUCUUGGGUGUCGACGUCCGGGGGCGGCGGCGUGUCCUUCCCCCGCGUUGCGGGGUCCCGUUCGGCGCGUGCGUGCGCCCGAGCGCGCCCCGGUGGUCUCUCCCGGCCAGCCGUCGUGUGUAAGUAAGGUCGACCUCGGCCUGCGGCCGACCGCCCCCCGGUUCGAGAGGGGGGGGCCGGGGCCGGGACCUCCGGUCCCGGUCCGGUCCCUCGUCCGGGUCGGUGGGUCGGCCGGACGGCUUCCGUCGCCUUCUGGCGUCGUUGUGGGUCGGGGCGGUGCCGGUCACCGGCCCCCUCCCCUCCUGCGCCUGCGCCCGCCGGCGUGGCCGGGGUUGGCCCGGCGGCACCCGGACCUCGAACGGGCGGGCGCGCAGGGCGCUGCGGCCGCACGGCGUGACUGUCCCCCGGGUCGGGCACCCCGGGCCGCCUCCCGCUCGCCGCCCGACCGCCGGGGCCCCGCCCCGCGGGGUGGGGUAUCGCCGCGCCCCCUCGCCGCCCCCCACUGCGUCUUCCGCGCGCGUGGCCGCCGACCCCCUCCUGGCUGCCCGGCACAAAACGGGUCGGGCGUUCUGCCCUCCACUCGCACGCGGUUGUGGAGAGAGGCGGGGGUGGGGUGUGGGGUUGGUGGUGGUGGUGGUGGUGGUGGAGGUGGAGGUGAUGGGGCGCGUGCGGUGUGCGCGUGGGACUCGUUCCCCGCGCUCCCGCGCCCGCCUCUCUCCCUCCGCCCUUCCUCUGCCCCGCCCCGCCCCGCCCCGCCCCGCCCCGCCCCACCCCGCCCCACCCCGCCUGGUCCCGCGCCUGCCGGCUACGGGCGGGGAUGA
RNAcentral lists this long non-coding RNA (1200 nucleotides) under Callithrix jacchus (white-tufted-ear marmoset). RNAcentral describes it as "lncRNA (ENSCJAG00000086433.1)". Lineage: Eukaryota; Metazoa; Chordata; Mammalia; Primates; Cebidae. The record is from RNAcentral.